Long non-coding RNA from Mustela erminea (ermine), 148 nucleotides. RefSeq lists it as uncharacterized. The record is from RefSeq and is a predicted model, not a curated record. The transcript is spliced from 3 exons. NCBI's taxonomy places the organism in Eukaryota, Metazoa, Chordata, Mammalia, Carnivora, Mustelidae.
AAAAUUUCAAAAAAAAAACCCCCCAAAAAACAAAAAAACAAAAACAAAACAAAACAAAAAAUCCCAGGGUCUUUACAGAUGUAGUUAGUUUGUGAUCUCCAGAAAAAAUCAUCCUGGAUAUAGGCUGAACUUAAAUCCAAUGAAUGGU